UCCGGUUUGUCACCGGCAGUCUGGCGUGAGUCCCCAACUUAAUGCUGGCAACACGCCACGGGGGUUGCGCUCGUUGCGGGACUUAACCCAACAUCUCACGACACGAGCUGACGACAACCAUGCACCACCUGUCACCUCUGUCCCCGAAGGGAAAGGCAUAUCUCUACACCGAUCAGAGGGAUGUCAAGCCCUGGUAAGGUUCUUCGCGUUGCAUCGAAUUAAACCACAUGCUCCACCGCUUGUGCGGGCCCCCGUCAAUUCCUUUGAGUUUCAGCCUUGCGGCCGUACUCCCCAGGCGGGGCACUUAAUGCGUUAGCUGCGACACCGA
This 328-nucleotide unclassified non-coding RNA is filed under the name uncultured bacterium. Its description in RNAcentral is "contains 16S-23S intergenic spacer region". The record is from RNAcentral.